RNAcentral lists this unclassified non-coding RNA (505 nucleotides) under Hevea brasiliensis (rubber tree). The record is from RNAcentral. Lineage: Eukaryota; Viridiplantae; Streptophyta; Magnoliopsida; Malpighiales; Euphorbiaceae.
CUUGGAUUUUGAAUGAUGUCCCUCCAUUCCAUACAUUCUUUUUCAUUAUUUUCUUUAAAAGAAAAAUUAUAUAUAAUAUAACCCUAUAUUGUUAUGCCAUUUGAAGAGAAGACCCAUCACGUGAAUUUCUGAUUAAUAAAUCACAAAAACUCUCUCUUUUUACGCCAAUCUGAAAUCUCUCUCGCACAGAGUCUCCUAAUAUUUCUACCCCAUCAAGAGAGAGACUGACGUCGCCACCUGCUCUUGUCUGUAUACUCUUUGUUUCAACCGAUUCCUUUGUGGGAGGAAAUGGGAAACUGUGAGAAAAUGGUUGUCAUCUCUCCAACUACUAACGAGUGGCCAAAGAAUCAGAUAGAUGAGAAAGCCUUGAUGCCAUCGAUAAGUAAACUAAUGGAGAAACGGGGCCAAGAACUAUCACAACAACAACACCAACACCAGCAGCCACAGCAAGCUUUUAAGUGUCCUCGCUGCGACUCCUCUAACACCAAGUUCUGUUACUACAAUA